This 838-nucleotide long non-coding RNA is filed under the name Homo sapiens (human). Its description in RNAcentral is "non-protein coding LINC01324:1". The record is from RNAcentral. Lineage: Eukaryota; Metazoa; Chordata; Mammalia; Primates; Hominidae.
CUCUACCUGAAUGCACUUGUGAACUUCAGAAUUUUGAAGCUCUGUCUCCUGACAUCACAGAUAGACAAGCACUGAACUUGGCAGGAAAAUCAGUAGGAGUAAGUGGCGGAGGCAUGGGACUGGCAGAGAUACGGCAGCCCCUGUGGAGAGGCUGUCUACAGAUAACAUAACAAUAACAACAGGAUCUGCGGGGUUCCUGCAUGCGUGUUGGCUUCACUGGAGAAACUAAUCAAGUGGUCUGAGUCAUUCAAGUUAUAGUCUAUUUGAAGACGAGUUGAAUCUGAAACAAUGAGUAAGAUGAUGAGAGCUCGAUACUUAUGGUUUAAAUAUAAAAGGGGUAUCCCAACUCAGAAAGAGAGAGGAGAUCUGGAAAAAUCCUGCUUUCUGAAGCUUUUGACGGUAUUUUCAUACUGCCUGACUAAAGUGCAACAGCUACAUAUUGACAGGCGGUGGAAGGUGCAGUUUGGACACAGAGACUGACACACAGGAAGAAUACCAUGUGAAGACUGGAGUUUUGCAUAGAGAAGCCAAGGAGCUACCAGAAGCUAGGAGAAUGGCCUGGAACAGACCUUUCCUUAGUGCCUUCAGAGAGAGCAUGGCGCUGCCAACAUCUUGAUCUCAGACUUCCAGCAUCCUGAAUUGUGAGAUAAAUUUCUGCUGUUUAAACCAUAUAAUUUGUGAUACUUUGCUAUGGCAACUGUCACAGCUAUUAUAAGCACCUAACCCUUUUUUUAAUCUUUUAAGAAACUUUUUGCUUUCAUCUACUUUUUUUGUUCUGGUUAUUCCAUAUUUUACUUUAAGAUUUAGUCUUCUGUCAAUAAAGCAAUAAUUUCAGAUC